Molecule: long non-coding RNA, 236 nt
Filed under: Lathyrus oleraceus (garden pea)
Lineage: Eukaryota; Viridiplantae; Streptophyta; Magnoliopsida; Fabales; Fabaceae
Description: Pisum sativum (pea) long non-coding RNA (PSAT_LNC005249)
Source: RNAcentral
GAAGAUCACUUUUUUGCCAGAAUGUUCAGAAUGUGACCUGUUGAUAGACCAGUGUCAGUACUUGAAGACUCUCAUUCCGGGAGGCCGUUUGUCUUAGCUUGUAUCUUUGAUAUGUAUGUUGAGAAUCACCUCCAGGCUUGUUGGAUGGGAUUCAUUGUUGUACUCCGAUUGUUUGGAUUUUCUUUGUCGACUUUGUUGUAUGAUCCUGUUACUCAUAUAGAUGAGGUUGUUGGUUU